Burkholderia sp. is the source of this 76-nucleotide non-coding RNA. Lineage: Bacteria; Pseudomonadati; Pseudomonadota; Betaproteobacteria; Burkholderiales; Burkholderiaceae. The record is from Rfam.
GGGAGCGGUGUGAGUCGAGAGGCUCACGCACCGUUCUGCGAGAGGCUGGAGGUGAAAUUCCUCUGGUCUACUCACC